RNAcentral lists this ribosomal RNA (215 nucleotides) under Campeiostachys nutans. Its description in RNAcentral is "Elymus nutans partial small subunit ribosomal RNA". The stretch from base 43 to 215 matches the Rfam family "Eukaryotic small subunit ribosomal RNA", at positions 690 to 864 of the family's 1831-position model. Lineage: Eukaryota; Viridiplantae; Streptophyta; Magnoliopsida; Poales; Poaceae. The record is from RNAcentral.
GGAUCAGUUGGUCGGUCGUGCCUCGGUACGUACUGGUCAAAUUGAUUCCUACCUUCUGACGAACCACGAUGUCAUUUAUUUGAUGUUAUGGGGAAUUAGGACUGUUACCUUGAAAAAAUUAGAGUGUUUAAAGCAAGCUUACGCUUGAAUACAUUAGCAUGGAAUAAUGAAAUAGGACAUCAGAUUCUAUUUUGUUGGUUUCUAGGAUCGAUGUA